Molecule: long non-coding RNA, 1364 nt
Organism: Fundulus heteroclitus (mummichog)
Lineage: Eukaryota; Metazoa; Chordata; Actinopteri; Cyprinodontiformes; Fundulidae
Exons: 3
Source: RefSeq, a predicted model, not a curated record
AGAAAUAUGGAGAUGAGAGAGGAGAGAAGAAGGGCAGUGAAACAUUAAUAUUAACUUCUUAAGUAGACCUGGUUGUUACAGUAAAGUCACUGGUAAUGUUUCUAAAUGACACACGAUUAUCCAACAGAAUUUAAUCUUCUUUUUCUUCUUUGUAAAUUAGAUUAGUUGAUAAUGGUGUGAUAACACCUCAGGCCGGUAGGUGGCGGUACUACAAUGACCGUGAGCCACUAGUGAAACUAACAGCAGAAGAAAAUCAAGGCUCUCUGCGGCUUUUAGCCACAGCUCCCUUUUUCUCCCCGUUAAUAUAUUUUUAUUUUAUUCGGUUUCGUGCUUUUUUUCCUUUUCAACAGAUUCAGGACUCAGAUGGGCGAUAAAUCUCUGGACAAGGAAAACGCGGCGAGAGAAGAAAGAAGCCGGACCGGAUAUUUCCGGGAAUCCCCUCAAAACAAAUGUUUAUGUAUGUCUAAGAAGCCAAUCUGGAGUAACUCGUUUUUAUUAAUUAUCAUUAUUAAUUUCUGACCGUGGGUCAGUAAUUCCCUGUUAUACUUCGUUAAGGACACGUAAUGUUUGUUUCAUUUAUAAGCUAUAAAUCUUCCACAAAGACUAAUAUAUAUUAUGAACAACACAGAAGUGGAAGAAAAAGGUUUGACUGAAAAAAAAGUUAGUGUUUUGAAAACCACAGAGCAGAACGUUUAUCUUAAUCUGUCGUUUAAAAUCCAGAUCUAGUUAAGAAUGUGAAUUGUCUGCUAAAGGAGGCUCCUCGAUGCCCGUCUAGAACCCCACACCUGACUGAAGACUUGGUGACGUCAUCAUGACGUAUCCUACAUGUCCAGGUGGAUUUGUCCGAAGACCCGCAGCGCUGGGAAUCCAUCUAAGGAGUUCCUGACCGACGUUCUGCUGGUGAAGCUGAUCGGGAUGAACAGUUCGUGGCCGACAGGCUUGGCUUCUCAAAGGUCUGGGAACCUCUUCAUGGAGAACAUCUGUCCAGAAGGAGAGAGCAGCUAGUCUGAGAGGCUGCUUGGACAGAACCAGAGGAUAGGAGUCAUUAAAGAUCACACAGAGGACACCUUCAGCUAGAUGCUGCUCUUUGAAUCCACAGAUGCUUUAAAGCCACAUCUGCCACGGUGCCUGAUUGGACCGAUAUGCUGGUGGAGACUCUCAGUCAUCCUGGUUAUAAUAAAUUCAAAAAAAGGUUAAAAAAUAAAACAACUGGGCUUCUGUUCUGACGCUGAAGACGUUUCGCUUCCCAUCCAGGAAGCUUUCCCAGUUCAAAAUUGAGAAAGAUUCCUGGAGAAACGUCUUCAGCUUCAGAACAGAAGCCCAGUUGUUUUAUUUUUUAGUAUUUUUUAUUUUAGAGUGUAUAU